RNAcentral lists this ribosomal RNA (253 nucleotides) under uncultured bacterium. RNAcentral describes it as "partial 16S ribosomal RNA". It matches the Rfam family "Bacterial small subunit ribosomal RNA", at positions 524 to 776 of the family's 1533-position model. The record is from RNAcentral.
UACAGAGGGUGCGAGCGUUAUUCGGAAUUACUGGGCGUAAAGCGUGCGUAGACGGUCAAGUAAGUCGGGUGUGAAAGCCCCGGGCUCAACCUGGGAAUUGCAUUCGAGACUGCGUGGCUAGGGUGCGGAAGGGGGAAGCGGAAUUUCCGGUGUAGCGGUGAAAUGCGUAGAUAUCGGAAGGAACACCAGUGGCGAAAGCGGCUUCCUGGUCCAGCACCGACGUUCAGGCACGAAAGCGUGGGGAGCAAACAGG